Molecule: long non-coding RNA, 370 nt
Organism: Lycium ferocissimum
Lineage: Eukaryota; Viridiplantae; Streptophyta; Magnoliopsida; Solanales; Solanaceae
Exons: 3
Source: RefSeq, a predicted model, not a curated record
CUUCCACUGCCUAUUGAAACAGUACAAAUACAUUUUAUCUCAACCUUUGAAAUAUUUCAUUGAAUUUUCAACAUUUAUUACACAUUCAUGUUUGCUUACCCUUCUCAUCCGUUAUACUAUGGAUCUGGAGACUUUUAUAAUAUCAUUUUUGUUUUGCAUAAAUCAUCAAAGACCUAACUUCCAAAAGAAUAAUUUUCCUUUUUUCAAAAGUCGAUGAUAUGGAGGUUAAACCUAACAUUUGUCUACAUCAGUAUUUUGAAAUCACCAGCUGAAAGGGUUGGAUGCAAAUGUUGCGAUUUUCCUGGUACUAAAAUAUUGUGAAGUCAGUUAUAAAGUGUUCGAAGCUUAUGGAAAUGUGUAUAACUCCAAU